CCUACGGGGGGCAGCAGUGAGGAAUAUUGGUCAAUGGACGAGAGUCUGAACCAGCCAAGUAGCGUGAAGGAUGACUGCCCUAUGGGUUGUAAACUUCUUUUAUAUGGGAAUAAAAUGUUCCACGUGUGGGAUUUUGUAUGUACCAUAUGAAUAAGGAUCGGCUAACUCCGUGCCAGCAGCCGCGGUAAUACGGAGGAUCCGAGCGUUAUCCGGAUUUAUUGGGUUUAAAGGGAGCGUAGGUGGAUUGUUAAGUCAGUUGUGAAAGUUUGCGGCUCAACCGUAAAAUUGCAGUUGAAACUGGCAGUCUUGAGUACAGUAGAGGUGGGUGGAAUUCGUGGUGUAGCGGUGAAAUGCUUAGAUAUCACGAAGAACUCCGAUUGCGAAGGCAGUUCACUGGACUGCAACUGACACUGAGGCUCGAAAGUGUGGGUAUCAAACAGGAUUAGAUACCCGUGUAGUC
Molecule: ribosomal RNA, 460 nt
Filed under: uncultured bacterium
Lineage: Bacteria
Description: partial 16S ribosomal RNA
Rfam family: Bacterial small subunit ribosomal RNA
Source: RNAcentral